Long non-coding RNA from Corvus hawaiiensis (hawaiian crow), 2937 nucleotides. RefSeq lists it as uncharacterized. The record is from RefSeq and is a predicted model, not a curated record. The transcript is spliced from 3 exons. NCBI's taxonomy places the organism in Eukaryota, Metazoa, Chordata, Aves, Passeriformes, Corvidae.
CCCUAAAAUCUGCUUCAUCAGUUCAGGUGAAUCCCAGAAUGGGUGAGGGAAGAGGCCACAGUGGUCAUCUGCUCCCACCUCCCUGCUCCAGCAGGGUCAUCCUAAAGCACACGACGCAGGAUUGCAUCCAGAGGGUUCUGGAAUAUCUCCAGUGAGGGAGACUCCACCCUGCUGUGCAAAGCAGAGGUGGGGGUUCUCACGAUGUCUCUGCGUGUCUCUGCUGCAGGUGUAAUGCAAAAGGGGACCUUGGCCAGCCUGGUGGAGACAGUGAUGCUGCCCGGUGACAGUGCUUCCAGACCAUGCUUGUUCCUGGCUGUGGGUUCACUCCUUGGGGAACACCAGCUCCGGAAGAACUAGCUACUUUCCUGUUUCAAGAUCUAUUCCUGUUCUAUCUUCUGUCUCAUUUCUCCUGAGAAUCUGUCUGCACAUCAAUGCAAUACACUUAGCAGUACAUAUCCCUGUAAAGGAUAGAGGGCUGAGCACUGUGGAAGCAAGGGUGAAUACAAAAAACCUUUUCCAUGAUGUGAAGGGAGAGAAGCCCUUCACCACAAAAACGGAGCUGCUCAGAGCUUUAGAAGAAGCAGAUUGUUACUGAAACUAGAGAAAAGCAGAGUUGUAAGCAGUAAUAUUUUAAAUAAAAAUUUUUAAAUUUUAAGGUAGUAAGCAUGGUAGAAAGAAUUGCAAAGCUGCUAGAAGGUUGCUUUUACUGACUGUGAACAAGUGGAAGAAAUUGCUUCCAUUUUUAAAAGGUACUGUUCUGGGUAAUAUUACCCAAAGUUUUCAGCUCUCAAGUAAACCCCAAACUUCCACCCAGGAGAAAAUCUAUUUUGGAAUCAGCAUUUAAAAAGGAAAAGUGUGGUUUCUAAUGUACUUGUCUUUCCAUUUUGAUUACACUGCCAUUCUAAGAAUACUUGAAGCUGGUGGAAAGUAUAACAUUGGUGCAGUAUACCUGAGUGGCACCAAACCCAAGUUACUUAGUAUUCUGUAUUCAUGCACGAGUGUCUAUGUUCUUGUUGAUGAGGCAAUGUCAGCCUGACUAUAGUUUGGUUCUAACAUUUUUAGAUGUUUGUCUGUGUGUGUUUUCUUUAACCACUACGUUUUUUUAAAAUCUGUGGGCAAAUGAAGUCUUGGGAGAGUGCUUUGCAAGUAAAGGCAAAAGUGGAAGAAAUUUCUGAGAAGGAAAAGAAUAUUAUCAGAGGAUAAUUUAUUGUAGACUGUUCUCAUGUAACUAGAGUUUUGGGGUUUGAAUUUGCCAAUUGUUUUCCAGUGGUUUGGAUUUUCAGUGCCAAUAUGGACACAUGCAUCACUGAGGGCCCAUGAAAGGUUAUGAAUUUUGCCCAAUCCUCUGCUCUGAGCUCAUGGGGGGAUAAAAAAGCCCCAUCUUGUGGCCAGUGAAUAAGCACAGUGAGAGCACGGCAUCCAGGGAUCCCUCAGAUGCUUUUGCCUUGCAGGUGGGUGCAGCUUCCAGCUGGACGUGAACAGGGUACGCAACCUGGGCUGGUGACAGGAGGCAAACUCCUGCUCUUGUCAGGAGCCCCCAGAGGCACUGUGCAGGGCUGUGGUGCCACUGGGGGGUAUCAGGCAGUCCUGGGGCAGCUGGUGUGGUACCAGGUGAUGAAGAACAGGAGCUGAAACCGGUAUGUGUCCUCAUGGACCUUUGCAGCUGCCAAAACAGAGAUGCAGGAGCUCUUCAGCUGUGUGCUUUUUCCCAGGAGACAGGUGGUGUUCUGCUUCUAGAUCUGACUCAGUUUUUGGUUCAGGAUUGGUCACGAGGACAUUGCUGCACGUCUUGAUAGAGCAUCAUUUUGAAAUAAUCCAAGCGGACUUCCACCGUGGCAAUUUUUUUUUCUUCUUCUGUUAGUGAAAUUUAAUUCAUCUUCCUGAAAGCUUCCAUUAUCUGCAGUGUGAGAAAGGAGCAGAGCUAAUGUUAUUGCUUCUGACACUGAACACUGCCAAAAGCAACUUAUAUCAGGCAGUAGUAAAUUUUGGUAUUGGUUGUCUAAUCCAGCAUUGUCAUGUCUAAUCAGCAGAUUGAACAUCUCUAAGAGGUGAAGAGUUUAAAACAUGCUGGAGAGUUCAGGCCUGUGCAUUUUUCUAGACUGAAAUGUCUCAGAACAGGUGAAUACUUGUUAGAGAUAAACUGGGUGCUUUAAACCUGGCUUCGCCCAGGCUGAGCACUGGCAGCUUGGUUCCAAACUGGUCACAAUCACUGCCUCUGACAGUCAGCUGAAGGCUGCCCUGGCAGCUCAAAGGGCUCUGCAUGGUGCACACAUCUGCUGUCUCUUUACUGUUCUAAAAGGCACCACAUCCUUCCCCUAUUCUCCACUUUGGAUGCUCCUUAUGCCUUCUAAAAUUGUUCUUUUCUGCAGGUAAUGUCCAAGUAGUAUAGUACCCCUCUUUUUUUUUUUUUUUCCCCACAGAAAGAAAAUAAUUCCCAUUUCCAAAUUACCCCUAACGUUGUCAUACUUUCUCUGUGAACUUUCCAAUCUCUGUGAGAUUUCUGAUUCAAUGGAGUAAUCAGAAUCAUUGCAACAUUUAUCUUUUCUUUCUAUUCUUGGCUUCACCACAGCUCUUAUUUUCACCAAUUACUCUUUUGGCUGGGGCUGAGCUGUGAUGCCAGCUAAAUUAUUGGUUUCACCUCCACGAAAGCAAAUAAUUGCCUUCAAGUCUGACUGCUAAGCCACGAGGGCUUUAAACAUGGAACAAUGUGUGAUUCCGAACCGCGGGCGCGGAGGCAGCGAUGAGGGGGAGCUGCCUGCCAGCCACCCCGGGCAUCUCCCUGAGAGGCCACCUAUCCCACUAGAGCACAGAAAGAAGGUGGACAGGACAGCCAGGGUUGAUGGAGACAGCAGGCUCCUGGCUGAACCUGUGGAGCCAUGGAAAGAGGAGCCCACACUGUAGCAGGUUUGGUGGCAGGACUUGUGACCCCACGAGGGA